AGUCGAAACUAGGCGUGAUGCUCGCCUAGUCCACCGGAGAUAGCCUCCCGGUGCUGAUGAGACAGGCUUAA
This 71-nucleotide non-coding RNA is filed under the name Heyndrickxia coagulans. The record is from RNAcentral. Lineage: Bacteria; Bacillati; Bacillota; Bacilli; Caryophanales; Bacillaceae. RNAcentral also lists the same sequence under 2 other names.